Molecule: small RNA, 29 nt
Filed under: Bombyx mori (domestic silkworm)
Lineage: Eukaryota; Metazoa; Arthropoda; Insecta; Lepidoptera; Bombycidae
Description: ovarian small RNA-28236
Source: RNAcentral
UCGAAGUUGGACCUACCUAGUUGGAUAGU